Molecule: non-coding RNA, 2322 nt
Organism: Rattus norvegicus (Norway rat)
Lineage: Eukaryota; Metazoa; Chordata; Mammalia; Rodentia; Muridae
Source: RefSeq, a predicted model, not a curated record
UAAUGAUACAAACUAUUAAUAGACUAGGUCAGAAAUGGAGUGGAUAGGACUCAUGAGGACAUGCUCCACUGUAAACUUGUGCUCUCCAACACGUUCUACGAGAGCUUGGCUGAGAGGAAAUUGUGCAGAAAACUUGUGCAACAUUCAGAGCUACCAGCAACCAUCAAGGGCCCAAAGAAGUUAAGAGAUGUGAACAGGACAUUGUACAAGGAUGUUCUCUAAAUCAGCCAAUUUCAUGCAUCAGAUAUAAUGAUGAAUGAGACUGACAUAUAAAUGGAAAAGAUCAUUGUUGGAGAGGGAAAAAUACACGUGGAGAAUGGUUCAACAUAGGAAGAGGUGACCAUAGAAGCUUGACAGAUUCAAGAUGUCACUUCCAGGGAAUCUCACCUUAUUGUGUACAGACUCCAUUUUGAAGGGUCUGUUAGGAAAAAAAAAAGUUUUAAGGUAAAACUUUUAAAGUGUGGUAAAGAAAAAAUAAACCAAAGAUGCAUGCUCAAAACUACCUUAGCAAAUAGGGAUAAAACAUGAAUUAUUUUCAGCAUCAUCUUCUAAACUUAAUUGUCAACUUUGAUCUGUCUACAUUCUCAGCUGAACUUCAAAUAAAUAUUAGCCCAUCAGAAUGAACUGUGGCCCUGCGUGACAGGAGAGGGCUUGCUACCGCAGAGCAAGGUGCUGAUUUAAGGAUCCCAAUGUUGAUGUACACCAGGGAACUCUCCCCAGGUACCAGCAGGUUCUGUGCAGCCCAUUAUUCUUCACACGGCCAGGGAUGCUAUUUCUCCAGAACUCAGUACAGUCGCACACCCCAUUGGUGAGGACACAGCCAUUUGAUAUGAUAUAUCCAGUGAUACACUAUUUUGAUUUCUCAAUGAAACAUACUACCCUGGCAUUUGUAGAUCAAAUUCAGAAGAGCAUAUUUAGAAAAAUUCUCAUCCUGACACCUUUAUUCCAGAGUUUGUUUGAAUGGGUAGUUAAUGUUUGGUUUGGUUUUGUGAUAAGGUGUCACUCUGUAGUCCUGGUACUUCCUAUAUGGACCAGAGAUCACCCUGCCUUUGCUUUUGCCCCCAAUGGAGUAUUAGGAUUAAAGGCAUGAGACACCCCCUCCUAGUAUUUUUGAAGCAUUGAUAGUUUUGUGGUGUCUUUUUAAGACCCUUUAAUUAUAUGCAUGCUGAAAGCCCCUAGGCUCCUCCCACAGGACUCCAGGCAGCUUUUCCACCCCAGAUUCUGUAUUAAGAACACACCUCUGCCCUGUAUCCACUUGAUGGAAUCGUAGGAUGGUGGGGGAACAUGGUGGUGUUAGUGGCCCAAGAUAUUGAGAAUUUAAAGAACUUUUAGCAUCAAUCCUUCUCCAGCUUACUUGGUAAGUGAGGAGAAUAAAGUCUAGGCAGGCUACGUGGCUAGCCUGAAGGCAUGCAGGAGUCUCUCUCCUAGGUUUUCAGAUUCAAGACUGAUAAUAUAUUUUAAGCAUACUUCGUUGUCAUGCAAAUGUUUACUUAUAGAAAGACAAAAGGUUGCUUUUAAGUCUACCUUAAUUUUGCUGGGUGGGAUUAGGGUGUUUAAGAUCAACCAAAGAAGGUAGAGUCAAAUUGUGCAUAUGAGGCAGAAACUCCCCAAAUGUCUGUUUCUCCACAUUAACGCCAGGAAACUGGAUAUUAAGAAUCAUAGCAGCACUAUGGUGUGAAGAACACAGAAGCCUAUGGGAUCUGUCUGAAUCCCCACAGACUAGAAGCACUGGAGAGCAGGAGCUCUCCAUCUGCAACAGACACUUGCCGACCUGAGCGCUUAUCACAUAGAUUGCAGAGACCUCCCACCCUGCAGCAAGCAGGUUGAAAUAGUGUUCUUGACCAGCAGUGUGGCCUUCCCUCAUGCUGGUAAGUCUCUCCCUCUCACCCCCACCAUUCACACCACAUGUUUCACCUUGGCCCCUUCUGUUAUUCCAGUGGUCCUUAUUUGUCUUAUGUGUAGGAAUGUUUAUAUUUGAAUGAGUCCCUGCCUCAAUCAAAACCCAUUUUCUCUAUCUUCUGUAGGCCAUAACCUGUGGACACACUUUAAUAAGUAUUUGGUGAAUACUGAAUUCAAACAAAUGACAUCAGGAUGAAAGUGUGAUCAUGUAUGUAAGGGGAUAGCAUAGCAACAAUGAUGUAUUCAACUCCAGCUGCCAUCCACUACUGGUGAGCUGUGCCUUCCUUCUCUAAAGGACAACUGCACCACCCCUACAUGAAUAUGCAAAGCGCAAGUUGUGAUAUGUGUUAAGAUAUGACAUUUCCAAGCGUCAUAAGCAUCUUUUGAAGAUUCUUUGUUCAUAUAUAGUUCACACCAUGUUAA